Molecule: ribosomal RNA, 482 nt
Filed under: uncultured bacterium
Lineage: Bacteria
Description: partial 16S ribosomal RNA
Rfam family: Bacterial small subunit ribosomal RNA
Source: RNAcentral
AUUGAACGCUGGCGGCAUGCUUUACACAUGCAAGUCGAACGGUAACAGGCCGCAAGGUGCUGACGAGUGGCGAACGGGUGAGUAAUGCAUCGGAACGUGCCCAGUCGUGGGGGAUAACUACUCGAAAGAGUAGCUAAUACCGCAUACGUUCUAUGGAUGAAAGCGGGGGACCGUAAGGCCUCGCGCGAUUGGAGCGGCCGAUGUCAGAUUAGGUAGUUGGUGGGGUAAAGGCUCGCCAAGCCAACGAUCUGUAGCUGGUCUGAGAGGACAACCAGCCACACUGGGACUGAGACACGGCCCAGACUCCUACGGGAGGCAGCAGUGGGGAAUUUUGGACAAUGGGCGCAAGCCUGAUCCAGCAAUGCCGCGUGCAGGAAGAAGGCCUUCGGGUUGUAAACUGCUUUUGUACGGAACGAAACGGCUCUGGUUAAUACCCGGGGCUAAUGACGGUACCGUAAGAAUAAGCACCGGCUAACUACGUG